RNAcentral lists this non-coding RNA (79 nucleotides) under Romboutsia ilealis. RNAcentral's name for it is "Cyclic di-GMP-I riboswitch". It matches the Rfam family "c-di-GMP-I riboswitch aptamer". Rfam says of the family: GEMM was predicted in a large-scale screen for bacterial structured RNA regulatory elements. Genes associated with GEMM are involved in a diverse array of functions, including chemotaxis regulation, signal transduction, secretion and chitin. RNAcentral also lists the same sequence under 1 other name. The record is from RNAcentral. Lineage: Bacteria; Bacillati; Bacillota; Clostridia; Peptostreptococcales; Peptostreptococcaceae.
UUUAAUAGGCAAACCUAAGGAAACUUAGGGACGCAAAGCUAUAGGGACUAAGGUAUAUACUAUGUCAGCCAGUUGCCAA